GAUGAACGCUGGCGGCGUGCCUAAUACAUGCAAGUCGAGCGAACGGACGAGAAGCUUGCUUCUCUGAUGUUAGCGGCGGACGGGUGAGUAACACGUGGAUAACCUACCUAUAAGACUGGGAUAACUUCGGGAAACCGGAGCUAAUACUGGAUAAUAUUUUGAACCGCAUGGUUCAAAAGUGAAAGACGGUCUUGCUGUCACUUAUAGAUGGAUCCGCGCUGCAUUAGCUAGUUGGUAAGGUAACGGCUUACCAAGGCAACGAUGCAUAGCCGACCUGAGAGGGGGAUCGGCCACACUGGAACUGAGACACGGUCCAGACUCCUACGGGAGGCAGCAGUAGGGAAUCUUCCGCAAUGGGCGAAAGCCUGACGGAGCAACGCCGCGUGAGUGAUGAAGGUCUUCGGAUCGUAAAACUCUGUUAUUAGGGAAGAACAUAUGUGUAAGUAACUGUGCACAUCUUGACGGUACCUAAUCAGAAAGCCACGGCUAACUACGUG
RNAcentral lists this ribosomal RNA (497 nucleotides) under uncultured bacterium. RNAcentral's name for it is "partial 16S ribosomal RNA". It matches the Rfam family "Bacterial small subunit ribosomal RNA", at positions 28 to 507 of the family's 1533-position model. The record is from RNAcentral.